RNAcentral lists this transfer RNA (70 nucleotides) under Cellvibrio sp. Its description in RNAcentral is "tRNA-Asn". It matches the Rfam family "tRNA". Rfam says of the family: Transfer RNA (tRNA) molecules are approximately 80 nucleotides in length. Their secondary structure includes four short double-helical elements and three loops (D, anti-codon, and T loops). Lineage: Bacteria; Pseudomonadati; Pseudomonadota; Gammaproteobacteria; Cellvibrionales; Cellvibrionaceae. The record is from RNAcentral.
AAUUCUAUAGCUCAUUUGGUAGAGCAUCUCACUGUUAAUGGGACGGUUGCCGGUUCAAUUCCGGCUAGCA